GGAUGUGAGGGUGAUCUGGCUAUGACAUCUGUCAUCCCACUGAUCACCAGGGUUUAUUCGGUUCAUCUAGGUGGGUGUCCCCACACUGCUCCAUGUGUGUCCCUCCCGAAGCUGCGCAGUUAGUCAUAGAGGAUGACCUUCCCCAAAGAGGAGGACCACUCUUUGCUUAAGGGUUUAUUAGUAGCUGUGCUCCCCUGCUGGAACCUCCAAAUAGGCUCUCAAAAUAAUAAUUCCACAUACUUAUUUAUAAUACAUAAGAUAGAUUAAUUAGUAGAAUUCCUCUUACUCAUAGAAGACAAAUAUUU
Molecule: small nuclear RNA, 305 nt
Filed under: Prolemur simus (greater bamboo lemur)
Lineage: Eukaryota; Metazoa; Chordata; Mammalia; Primates; Lemuridae
Description: 7SK RNA (ENSPSMG00000010928.1)
Rfam family: 7SK RNA
About the family: 7SK was discovered as an abundant small nuclear RNA in the mid-70s but a possible function has only recently been suggested.
Source: Rfam by way of RNAcentral